CGGGCGUUAAGUUGCAGGGUAUAGACCCGAAACCCGGUGAUCUAGCCAUGGGCAGGUUGAAGGUUGGGUAACACUAACUGGAGGACCGAACCGACUAAUGUUGAAAAAUUAGCGGAUGACCUGUGGCUGGGGGUGAAAGGCCAAUCAAACCGGGAGAUAGCUGGUUCUCCCCGAAAGCUAUUUAGGUAGCGCCUCGUGAAUUCAUCUCCGGGGGUAGAGCACUGUUUCGGCUAGGGGGCCAUCCCGGCUUACCAACCCGAUGCAAACUGCGAAUACCGGAGAAUGUUAUCACGGGAGACACACGGCGGGUGCUAACGUCCGUCGUGAAGAGGGAAACAACCCAGACCGCCAGCUAAGGUCCCAAAGUCAUGGUUAAGUGGGAAACGAUGUGGGAAGGCCCAGACAGCCAGGAUGUUGGCUUAGAAGCAGCCAUCAUUUAAAGAAAGCGUAAUAGCUCACUGGUCGAGUCGGCCUGCGCGGAAGAUGUAACGGGGCUAAACCAUGCACCGAAGCUGCGGCAGCGA
This 524-nucleotide ribosomal RNA is filed under the name Salmonella enterica subsp. enterica serovar Enteritidis. RNAcentral describes it as "partial 23S ribosomal RNA". It matches the Rfam family "Bacterial large subunit ribosomal RNA", at positions 689 to 1211 of the family's 2925-position model. The record is from RNAcentral. Lineage: Bacteria; Pseudomonadati; Pseudomonadota; Gammaproteobacteria; Enterobacterales; Enterobacteriaceae.